UUCUGACCAUCUUCUCGUAGUAGAACUGAUUGAGAGUUUUUAAGAAGAGCUUGGUCAUCUCUUUCUCUUCUACACGCGGGAUGACUUGGGCAGCGGUAUCCCUCCAUCGCUGGGCAUACUCCUUGAAUGUUUCCUUAUUCUCUUGAGUCGUUGCCUGAAUAUCGCUUCGGUCUGGAGCCAUAUCCACAUUAUAACUGUAUUAUUCCACAAAAGCUUCAGAUAGAUCACGAAAAGUUUGGAUUUUUGUUUUGUCUAGAUUCGUGUACCAUUUUGAGGCGGGACCGGCCAAACUCUCUUGGAAGUAAAAAAUAAGGACCUGAUCGUCCAAAGCAUAUGCAUACAUCCUUCUUACAUACAUUUUCAGAUGUUCCUCAAGGCAGGAGUUCCCUUUAUACUUCUCGAAAUCUGGGAUCUUGAACUUGUGAGGUAUCUGGACAUUCGGCACCAAACAGAGAUUGUAAGCGGUUUUUCCAAAUUUUCCUCUCCCACGGAGAGCCCUCAUUUCUCGAUGCAUUUCAUCAUAUUUUUCCUACAAGUCAUCCACUCUAUCAUCGGCCUCCAUGUUCCCUGAAUGGAAGAUGGGUUCUUCAUUUUAUGGAAUGGUAUGCAUUACAGGUGCUGAGUAAGUCAUGACAACUAGAGGAGUUCUUACAGGAAGCGGAGGAACAUGAGCUGCAUAUUGAUGAGUAUGCAUCUGAGCUUCACAAGCACUAGGGCGGAAUACUUCACUGAGACAAAUAGGGACACCCCAAGGACGACCUUCUGGCAUAGAAUUUGGUGGAGUACUGACAGGUUUUGUCCAUUCAGGGACAAUAGAGACAGUUGCUUCGACCUGAGUGCUGAUAGGAGGAGAAGGUGGUGGUUGAUUCUGUGCAGCCGUCAACGUUUUCAUCAAUUCAAUCAUUUCAUCCAUCUUAGUUCGCAUGGUUGCCACUUCUUCACGGAGCACUUAAUUUUCCUGUUCGAGAAACUCCAUCUUUUCCUAACAAUUGUUCGAGUGUUGUAAAUGCGUGUGGAUUUCAGACGUGGACGCCAUGACUCUUUUGAGAUGGGUUGACCUUUAGUAGAAAAGACAAAGUGUGAGACUCAGACUGGAAAUUAUGAAUGCAAAAUGAUGCAUGAUAUGCUUAUGCAAAAAUAGACAUUUUUUUUAUUUGAAGGACUUGUCAAAGUAAUUGUAGACUUGAUAAGGAACAUUGUUUUAUUUGAAAUUUGUGAAGAUGUUGCAAUUGAUUCCCUUUUCAAAAGUAAGAACGAAACCAAGGAAAAAAGUUCUUAACAAAAGCUAAAGUUUAGUUAAGAUUUUUAAAGUUGUAUUUCUUGGUGUUCCUUCUUACAAGGACCAUAUCAUUGAUGUUUACAGGAACUUAUCUAAGUCCUUCGAUAUUAGUGAGAGAAAAAGAAAGUUUUUAUGAAUGAAUGCAUGUAUGCAUAAUUAUGCUAAAGAACAUGGAAUGCAUGGUGAGGUUAAGUCCACAAUGUUGGAGCCAAGGAUAACGACGCCAUUUGGUAAGGACUAUGGUUUCAAAUUGCACUUGUAACAAAGGUUCUACCAAGUUCCCAAAUUACAACUUCCAAUAACAUCCAUAAGUAAGUCUAGUUUGAGUGUAAUAUCGCGUGUCGACCAAAGUCAAGAAUGCUCUUGGUUUAGCCACCGCACUACGUCCUAAAAAGGCCAAGAUGGGUUAAGGGUUACUAAGGUUUCUCAACUUCGAUGGUCAUUCAAAAAUAAUAGCGUCAAUCACGACUGCUCAUGGUCACAUCGUAUUACUUUGAGACCUCCGUUGAGUGGGAUUAUACCACAUGCACACAUAGCACAGGACCGCUCCUGGUAUGGCACUAUGGUUGUACCCCGUCCUAUCUUAUAUUUCUCUCAAGCCCGGGUGUAGGACUUAUCUCACCACUCACGUUUAGAAAGAAGAAAGUAGAGGGAGGACAUAUAUACACGUAUUUCCAUCUUUUAUUUUUGUUUUUGUUUAUUUUAAGCAAGUUAUAGCACAAAGAAUUAAACAAAGCCAAGUUAGGCUCAACCCUCUUAGGGAGGUCCCCAGUGAAGUCGCCAUUUCUGUCGCAUCAUUUUUCGGAGAAGGCUAUUUGAUUAGCUUUUGACUCAACUUUAUUAUUUCACAACUGAACAUUUUUAUUUGUUUAAGAAAAGGGGAAAAAAGUUCAAACUACCCCUAUUUGAAAAGAUUUAGGAUUCGGGGGUUAGUUACAUAAAGGGAAGGGGAAGGUGUUAACACCCUUUAUGUCCGUAGUACUCUACGGGAACCUCUUGGUUUUUAUUUAAUUUUCGUGCUAUAAACUUGCUUGCUUUUGAAAAAAGAAGUUAAUGUGACGAUUAAAAGAAAGUGAGACCUAAUUUAUCUACAUUUUUUAUUGUUUGGAAGGACGAAUGUCCCGUACCUACGUACCCGUGAGGGAUCAAAACCUCGGGGUAGAAAUUGAUGUUUGAUUUGUUUUUGUGUUUUUUAUUAGUUUUGAAAAAAGUUUUUAAAUUGAAAAGCCAAAUGGCAAAAUAAAUUUGUUUGUGUUUUUUAUAUUAAAAGAAAAUGACUUAAAGUAUGAUUAAAGUUGAUUGCAAUUUUGAUUUAAGAAAAUAAAAUAAAAGACGGUCACUUGAUUUAAGAUCAAGGUUUAUUGUAAAAAAGUUUUUUUGUGAUUUUUGUUAUUUGCAUGUUUUUUUUGUUGUUUUUGAAUAAAAGCUAAACUAAAAAUGGAAACUAACGGAGCAAGGAAAUUAAAAACGUUUGUAACCUAAGCUAGAAGCAUAAAAUAAAGCAUACACCCACACACACACACACCCAUGCACCUAAACUAUUACAAAAAAUCCUAUUUACAUUCUAAGGUCUGCAGAAAAUAAAUGACAAGAAAAGUAAGUAAAUUAUUUACAUCAAAGCCUAAUUUACAUUCUAACAUCCUUGCUAUAAAAUAAAUGACAUAAAUAAAUAAACAUGCAUGAGAGAAUAUAAAAUAAUAAUUACAAUGCUAAAAGAUAAAUAAAAUGCAUGAAAUAAUAAAAAAAAAGGUUCAAUCACAAGGUGGGGGUGUGCAGCAGCAUUCAGGAGGUGCAGAAAUUAAAAAAAGGAACUGGGCUUCAGCAGCAAGUGGGCGCGCCAAUGGGCCUUGUGGGUCAACAUACACCGGUUCAGGUCGGUUCAAGGUCGAACCGGUUCGACCUAGUACUAUAAAUCAGCAAACGCCGGUUUUCUUUCAUUUCUUAGAUCCCCUUCUCUCUCUUCACACAUUUCUAGAGAGAUAAGCUCUCUCCUCUCUCUAAUUUUCUAUCUUCUUCUCCGAUGUGGAGAAGGUGGUCGAAGCGACUUCCGGUGCGGUGGCCGGCGAGCCAUCGCGGCGCCGCCGCCGCACCGGAGCUAAAAAGCUUUUUUUUCUUUUAAAUUUUCGGCUUCCUUCUUCUCUUCCCUUCCUAGUUUUCGUUUUUUCACUCACAAUUCACAAAUGAUAGUUUCAGAACCCUAGAUCUAAAAGUUAAGAUAUCCUACCUUUCUCCUAUGAACUUGUACGGUUCGAGCGGAUGCCCUUUGGUUUUGGAUUUUGAUGGCCGAACCGGUUUGAGUGGCGCCUCUUGCAGUUUCGUGCUGGUUGGAUUUCGGUCCGAUCUGCUUCUUCUCUGUUCGAUCUGUUUUCCACUGUGUGUGUGCGUUGCUGGCUUUCUCUUCUGUGUUUCCUGCGUUUGCUCCUCGUCCGAUCUGCUUCAUGUGCGUCUCCGGCUUCUUUUAUCCGCGUCUCUCUGGCUUCUGCGCGUUUCAUGUGUGUUUUCUUGUGUUGUGCAGGUUGUGUAUUUAUAGUCUCAGGUUUGGGACUUGGGUUUGUUGAGAAUGAGCAAGAAAUUUGGUUUUGGAUUGGAAUGAAUCGGAUUUAGAUGAUGAAACGCGUUUCUGACUUUGGCUGGGAAGUGGAUUUCGCGUGAGACUGGCUGUUUUUUUGGAUCAGGACCAUUUUUUGGAUUUUUAUCAGAUAAAGAAAAAAAAUAAUAAAAGAAAAGAAUAUACAGACUUGACCAUUUGGACUUAUCUAAAAAGAAAAAUGAAAUAAUUAAAUAAAUAGAUAAAGACUUAACAUAAUAAAAUUAAAAUUAAAUGAUUUGAAAAAAAAGAAUAAAAGAUGGAAAUUUUAACUAAAAAUAAAUAAAAAAUAAAAUUAAAAGAAGAGGCCCCCUACUUGAAAAGUCAAAUAUGGAUCAGAGUCAAAUAACGCAUGUCGAUGGGACCUUAUGUAAAAUUGGGGUAUGACAAUGCAUAUACUUCCUCAACUGAGACACAUGAAACACAUUAUGAAGAUUCGACAAAGACGGUGGUAACGCAAUCCGAUACGCUACAACCCCAACCUUCUCAAUAACAUCAAACGGUCCAACAAAACGAGGAGUCAACUUCCUACACAUCAAAGCACGACCAACACCGGUCACAUGAUUCACCCUCAAAAAUACAUGAUCACCAACUUGAAACUCAAUAUCCUUUCUCCUCUUAUCAUGAUAAGUCUUCUGUCUACUCUGAGACGCUUUCAUAUUCUCUUGAAUCAUCUUAACCUUUUCCGUAGUCUCUUGCACAACUUCCGGCCCUAACAAAGCACUUCUCUGGAUUCAAACCAACACAAUGGUGUCCUAUGUAACAGCCCCAUUUUUGGCUAGAUUUAUUUUAAUUACUUUUAUUAUGUGUUUGUGUGUGAUUAUUUGUGCUUGUGUGUAUUUAAUUGUCAUCGGGUGUAUUUACGUGGAUUACCGUAUUAGAAGGGUAUUUUGGUAAUUUUGUAAGGAUGGGUAAAAUUAUAAUUUUUAGUGGGAAUUACUUUUAGUAAUUAGUGAGAAUGGUUAUUUCAUUAAGUACUAGAGAAAGUCGAGAUUUUACCGUUAGUGACAUUUUACCGUUAUUAAUUAAAAUAUCNUGUUUAACUCUUUUAAGAUCUUUAUUUGGGGCCUGCGUGCCAAACUGAUUUAUGGUUUAUGAACUAAUAUUCCGCUGCUAUGUUAAGAUAUUAUGUGGAAGUUAAAUUAUUAUUUAACUGUUUUUGGAUUACGUUUUUAUGUGAUAUCACGUUUAUGGUUUUUACUCUGAUAAAAGUUUAAGAAAUUUGUAUAUUGGGAAAACGGGGUGUUACAGGCAGAACUCCUAUUGUCGAGACUUCGACCUCCACGGGAAGCACAACCUUCAUGUUAUAUACUUGAGGGAAGGAGAGGGAUUGCCCCUGUUGAAAUGUGCUCUAAAGCAUGAUAUCCGAGCAAAGCGAAUGGUAGCACCUCGAGCCAGUCUUUGUAAGCGAUUGCCAUCUUCUGGACUAUCUUCAUGAUUUUUGUUUGUAACUUUGACGACUAUACUGCCCCAGUAUGUGAGAGAUCUCAUCAGGAGUCUCUUCAUUCUUUUCUUCAGCUUCGGAUACAAGGAACUCAAAGUUGGAAGAGAGUACAUGGUAAAUGUGUUCAACGGGUUUAUUAAUGCAUGAUUUAUUGUUGACUUUGACAAGUAAAUGAAAGUUAUGAUUAUGCAGACAUUUGACAAUGAUUAUUAAAGCAAAAAGCCCUACAUGAGUUCACUUUCGUCUCGGGCGGGACGAAAGGAUGUUUUUUGAAAAGAUAGUAAACAAACAAACAUAUCAUUGGAGACAAAUCGAGUAGCAGAAAAAAACAUAAACGUCGACCCAAUUGCAGCUACACACUCAUAUUCAAAUUCUUGAAAGGCAAGACAUCGUCGUCGAUACACUUCUGGACUUCAAUCUUCAAGGAGAAACAAUGCUCAACGUCAUGACCUUGUGCCCCUUGAUGAAAGGUACAAUAGAGGUCAGGUCUCCACCUAGCCGGCAAUUUCUUAGGUAUCGGCGGAGGUGGUCUGGUCUGGACAAGGUUCCUCUCAAGCAAAGAAGGAAGCAGCUCCGCAUAUUUCAUAGGAAUCAGAUCAUAUUGUGGUGUUUUCUGAGCCUGAUGAUGUGGAUUGAAUUGCGGAUGAGCCUGUCGUCGAGGAUGACCUUUCACCACAUUCACUUCCUGGUCUUUCUUUUUGGAACUGCCUGCAGGGACACUUUCAUUGACCAAUCGUCCUUCUCGGACUCCUUCUUCCAACUGUACGCCCAUACCAACCAUCUCAGCAAAGUUCUUGGGCGUACUUCUGACCAUCUUCUCGUAGUAGAACUGAUUGAGAGUUUUUAAGAAGAGCUUGGUCAUCUCUUUCUCUUCUACACGCGGGAUGACUUGGGCAGCGGUAUCCCUCCAUCGCUGGGCAUACUCCUUGAAUGUUUCCUUAUUCUCUUGAGUCGUUGCCUGAAUAUCGCUUCGGUCUGGAGCCAUAUCCACAUUAUAACUGUAUUAUUCCACAAAAGCUUCAGAUAGAUCACGAAAAGUUUGGAUUUUUGUUUUGUCUAGAUUCGUGUACCAUUUUGAGGCGGGACCGGCCAAACUCUCUUGGAAGUAAAAAAUAAGGACCUGAUCGUCCAAAGCAUAUGCAUACAUCCUUCUUACAUACAUUUUCAGAUGUUCCUCAAGGCAGGAGUUCCCUUUAUACUUCUCGAAAUCUGGGAUCUUGAACUUGUGAGGUAUCUGGACAUUCGGCACCAAACAGAGAUUGUAAGCGGUUUUUCCAAAUUUUCCUCUCCCACGGAGAGCCCUCAUUUCUCGAUGCAUUUCAUCAUAUUUUUCCUACAAGUCAUCCACUCUAUCAUCGGCCUCCAUGUUCCCUGAAUGGAAGAUGGGUUCUUCAUUUUAUGGAAUGGUAUGCAUUACAGGUGCUGAGUAAGUCAUGACAACUAGAGGAGUUCUUACAGGAAGCGGAGGAACAUGAGCUGCAUAUUGAUGAGUAUGCAUCUGAGCUUCACAAGCACUAGGGCGGAAUACUUCACUGAGACAAAUAGGGACACCCCAAGGACGACCUUCUGGCAUAGAAUUUGGUGGAGUACUGACAGGUUUUGUCCAUUCAGGGACAAUAGAGACAGUUGCUUCGACCUGAGUGCUGAUAGGAGGAGAAGGUGGUGGUUGAUUCUGUGCAGCCGUCAACGUUUUCAUCAAUUCAAUCAUUUCAUCCAUCUUAGUUCGCAUGGUUGCCACUUCUUCACGGAGCACUUAAUUUUCCUGUUCGAGAAACUCCAUCUUUUCCUAACAAUUGUUCGAGUGUUGUAAAUGCGUGUGGAUUUCAGACGUGGACGCCAUGACUCUUUUGAGAUGGGUUGACCUUUAGUAGAAAAGACAAAGUGUGAGACUCAGACUGGAAAUUAUGAAUGCAAAAUGAUGCAUGAUAUGCUUAUGCAAAAAUAGACAUUUUUUUUAUUUGAAGGACUUGUCAAAGUAAUUGUAGACUUGAUAAGGAACAUUGUUUUAUUUGAAAUUUGUGAAGAUGUUGCAAUUGAU
RNAcentral lists this long non-coding RNA (7348 nucleotides) under Medicago truncatula (barrel medic). RNAcentral describes it as "long non-coding RNA (MTRU_LNC006975)". The record is from RNAcentral. Lineage: Eukaryota; Viridiplantae; Streptophyta; Magnoliopsida; Fabales; Fabaceae.